Long non-coding RNA from Bubalus bubalis (water buffalo), 1937 nucleotides. RefSeq lists it as uncharacterized. The record is from RefSeq and is a predicted model, not a curated record. Lineage: Eukaryota; Metazoa; Chordata; Mammalia; Artiodactyla; Bovidae. The transcript is spliced from 2 exons.
GGGGCCAGAGAGACCCAGAGUAAGAUUCUUUAGAUGCUUUGGGUUCUGCUUUAAAUCCCCAUCGUCCUUUCCAUUUCUGUCACUGCUUCCUUUCAGGCUUUGAAACUCUUGACACUAGAGAGGAGAAAAUGGCAGUCUUUGGAUUAGAGCUGGGAAAUCCUAGAGAAGGAAAAAUGAUCAACCAAUCAUAUUCUACAUUGUUUUUUCCUAGCCAAAGAACAGGUCAAAAACUGCAAAAUUCGACCUGCAAACUAUAUUUGGCUUAGACCAGGGUGGAGUGGGGCGGGAAUGAGUCUAAUUCCAAACAAGAGAAAAAUAAGUUUAGAUUUAUUGUCUAACCGACUCAGGAUUUCAGAGUAGAAAUGUUUCAGUUUGGCUGGCUUCUCUCCGCCAACACCAGGCAUUUCCAUUCCACAUGGGAAGAACAAAAUGAGGCAAACAAUCCACGAUUAAAUGAAAACAGGUGGAUAGGGAGCUGCAUUUAUGUUUACCACCUGGAGAAAGACUAUUUUCCUCUCGUGGUUUUUAUAGACUUGGGGGCUGUUGAAGAAAUCACACUGUCUAUAAAUUUAAUCAACACUCAUUAAGCUCAUUGGGAGAGAUUCCGUUAGGAAAACAACCUACAUGGAAAACAAGCCCUUUGUUUCUAUUGGAUUUUACAAUAGGGAGCACUCCAAGUUUAGACAUUAAGGUGAGAAGGAGCUAAGUAUAGAAAUUAUCUGGUAUGAUUGGAUUUGGGGGAGACUCUGAGUCUAUAGAGAGAUAAGCAUGUUUAUAGCAGAAGACUGAGAUUAGGCAGAUAUUUUAUUUUCUUCAACCACCCACCCCCCAAUAAUAACCUUACCAUCACCCUAUCCUCUUUCCCUACCACCAACAGAUUCCAUCCCCUGCCAGAUUCGCCCUCAGUUUCAUAGCUCUGCUCUAAAGAGCUGGCUUUUCAAAAUACCUCGUUCUGCAGCCUGAUGAUGUGAAGCUUACUGCUGAAUGUCCAGAAGCAGCAAAUGUUACAUAAUCCUAACUGCACACAGCACUGCAGAGCCUUAUCUCUGAAAAACAGCACUGAAAUGGCCACUUAAAACUCAAGUAAGCUCUCUUUCCAUACCAGACUGGUCUUUCUGUAAAGACCUUCCAGGAUAAAGCAGUCACUCUUCCGAAGCCCACUGCAAACUGGUUUCAACAUAAACACAUCUCAGGCGCCAGGAGCUACGCUGAGUGCGGCACGUAGUAUAAACAAGGGAAAGGGGAAGGGGAAGCUGCCAGACUCUUGCUGGGAGCUCCAGACCUUGCUUUGUUGGUGACCAUUUACUGUCUGUUAAGCUGAGUUACAGGGGAUAACUGUUAUCAGCUAGUACCCUAGAACUGGAACGCAGUUAAGUGUUGUUCUAAAGCUCAUGAUUUUUCCACUAUCCUAAAGUUUGAGAUGACUCAGAGGAAAUAAAUAUUUAGGUUAAUAUCAGCCAAAAUUCUAUGCACCAGAAGUAUUCUUAGAAAGAGAGAACACUGUUCACGUGGGAGAAAUUCUUUGAUACACCCAUCCCUCCACCCUGUUCCUGGUAAGAUUCUUUGUUCAUGAUGGGAUGCUGAAGGCAUGACGGACAAGAAAAGGGAUCUGUCCUGCUUCUGGGAGGGAGAAGGCAGGCAAGUGAGCAGAAAGUGUCUCAAGUCUUCUGUAGACUCCCCAGUGUUGAUGAGUGCUGCUAAGUCGUGUCCAACUCUCUGUGAGCCCUCCAGGCACCUCUGUCCACAGGAUUCUCCAGAUCUGGAUAUGUUCAAAGUGUCACUUUGUCAGAUGGCAGCAGGAAAGCCCAUCACCCUCGGAUAAACUUGAGCUCACAGGCAAAGCUCAGGACCCCAAAUCGAAAGGACCCUGGCGUGUCACCAGGGACUCAGGCAAGUGUGACUUUAUGACUUGCCAGAAUCAGUGUUCUUUCAACAGU